RNAcentral lists this ribosomal RNA (229 nucleotides) under uncultured eukaryote. RNAcentral's name for it is "partial 18S ribosomal RNA". It matches the Rfam family "Eukaryotic small subunit ribosomal RNA", at positions 1208 to 1456 of the family's 1831-position model. The record is from RNAcentral.
UGAAAUCUCACCAGGCCCGGACACUGGAAGGAUUGACAGAUUGAUAGCUCUUUCUUGAUUCGGUGCGUGGUGGUGCAUGGCCGUUCUUAGUUGGUUGAGUGAUUUGUCUUGUUAAUUCCGAUAACGAACGAGACUCUGUCCUGCUAAAUAGUGUCUGCUUCUCUUUCGAGCAGACAAUUCUUCUUAGAGGGACUAUAUGUGUUAAGCAUAUGGAAGUUUGAGGCAAUAA